GGAAAUUUCUUUGAUUUCCAAUGUUGACAAUGUUGACAUGUAAGUAAGCACAUGCAACCAAAGGGAGGGUUGUUUGAUUUUCAAUGUGCAUAUGAUUAAGUAGUAAACACAUACAAUGGAAGGCAUGGUAUAAGGAUUUCCAAUAUUAUCAGGAUGGUACAAGGAUUUCCAAUCGUACUAAGUACACCGAAUAGACAAGAGGUUUCUUUGGUUUCCCAAUGUAAAACUCAAUAUAUAUAGUAGUUCUCCAUCCUAAAUAUGUCCUUCAUUCUUGUUUUAAGACGUGAUAUGAUAACACACUGUCUCCCUUAUUACACUUAUGCUCAUACGCCUUAUAAAAGGAGGGAGUAGUACCUAACAACGUACUUCAAUAUAAGCAGAGCAGUACAUAAACAGAGAGAGUGGUACCAAAUAACGGAAUAUUUGGCUUUCUGAAGGUGUUCUCAUGAUAUACUCAUAUACUAAAGAUUUCGAAUGAUAAUUUGUUGAAUCUAGGUCCAGAUUCUCCUGAUUCUACCAAUAAAGUCUUGGUAUAGGUUACAUUGAUUGUACCAAGAAUAAGAAACAUCCAUGAAUAGACUACUAGACAUUCCACUAUAAGGAUUUUUGUCCGGCAUAUUCUACUAAGCGGAACAUCCUUUAGUCGCCAUUACCUGGCAUGGAUGAGCCCCAAAAUCUUUCCGGCGUGCUAUUCAAAUAUUCAAACGCCCGGGCCAAGCCGCGUGACACAUGUGAAAUGUCAAUUUUCCUCCCCCUUCCCAAUAGCACCCCAUUUCAUCCACCACCAUAGUAAAAGGGUAUAUUGGUAAUGUGACAGGGUCAUCCACCCAAUUGGCCAAAUACCCCGUCCGUUCCCUCCCUCCGUCCAAAUCUUCCGCAUCCAAAAACCUUCUGCCAUUAGUUCCCCUUCACCUCCUCGCCCCCAUCCCAAAUCUUCACCUCCUCCUAGCCCACAUCCCAAAUCUUCACCUCCUCCUUACCACCAUCCUAAAUUUUCAUCUGCUCACCACCAUCCACAAUCUUCCUCUCAUAGCUACCGCCCAUUUCCCAUCUCCCUCGUAGGACCAGCGGCAACGCAAUGGCAAUAGGCGGGAAGGUCGUACGACAGAAACAUCAACAACCAGGUAUAAUGUUUUCCUCCCGAGUUAAGCAUCCCCGGUGUUGCGAUUAAAGUGUAUCCUUGUUGGGUUUUGUUAUUGCUUUUACUUUGUUAUUUGUUUGCAAAUCUGGCAGUUCCCAUGUAUACACGAGUUUGUUUCUUUUAUUCGGGCACCUGAUAGUAUGCCUCCUAUAGUGACUAGGGCAAAGACAUUGGCUUUAGCUCAAGCAGGAGUUUCGGAUGGGAUGACUCCCAAUUCACAAGAAUUGCCAACUGAAGGUCAAGCAACAGCCACCAACACUAAGGACAUCACCGACAUGAUGACUGGCGAAGGCAAGUCAUUUGAUCUCUUUUUCCCAAAGCCAAAAAAUUGGAACGUCGCAAUUAGCAACCAAAUCAUUAUUAACACACAC
Molecule: long non-coding RNA, 1512 nt
Filed under: Setaria viridis
Lineage: Eukaryota; Viridiplantae; Streptophyta; Magnoliopsida; Poales; Poaceae
Description: long non-coding RNA (SVIR_LNC005442)
Source: RNAcentral